AGGUAAAAGGCCCAAUACCCAGGCCAUGAGUGAAAUCUAGGAUGCUUAGGAAUAGAGUGAUUCAUGGGAAGCGGGUGGUAUUGCGCCACUUAGCGGAACAUUGACAUCACGAGCAGUUCAGACCCUGGUUGGAUAUUGUCGUUGCAUACUUCGGGUGUGUAUAUGAUAAUAUUCUGCGAAAGGUUAUUUAUGCUGCAUUUCUCUCGACCUUACCCUGGCCUAGACGACACCCGUGAGUGGGGAAGGGUUUGAUCAUUAUUACAGGUACCGUUGGUGACUUGUGGUUCUGUUGGUGACUUUGGGUUCAGAUGACAGUUCUCAGUUGACUUUGGGUUUCAAAUGGAUUUGGGGUUCUGAGUUUAAACC
Molecule: long non-coding RNA, 366 nt
Filed under: Lathyrus oleraceus (garden pea)
Lineage: Eukaryota; Viridiplantae; Streptophyta; Magnoliopsida; Fabales; Fabaceae
Description: Pisum sativum (pea) long non-coding RNA (PSAT_LNC029686)
Source: RNAcentral